This 303-nucleotide unclassified non-coding RNA is filed under the name uncultured Sordariomycetes. Its description in RNAcentral is "sequence contains ITS1". The stretch from base 1 to 105 matches the Rfam family "5.8S ribosomal RNA", at positions 50 to 154 of the family's 154-position model. Lineage: Eukaryota; Fungi; Ascomycota; Sordariomycetes. The record is from RNAcentral.
GAAAUGCGAUAAGUAAUGUGAAUUGCAGAAUUCAGUGAAUCAUCGAAUCUUUGAACGCACAUUGCGCCCGCCAGUAUUCUGGCGGGCAUGCCUGUUCGAGCGUCAUUUCAACCAUCAAGCCCCGGGCUUGUGUUGGGGCCCUGCGGCUGCCGCAGGCCCCGAAAACCAGUGGCGGGCUCGCUGUCACACCGAGCGUAGUAGUUACCACCUCGCUCCGGGCGUGCCGCGGGUUCCGGCCGUUAAACCCCCCACACUUUUCCAAAGGUUGACCUCGGAUCAGGUAGGAGUACCCGCUGAACUUAA